Molecule: transfer RNA, 56 nt
Filed under: Bacteroidales bacterium
Lineage: Bacteria; Pseudomonadati; Bacteroidota; Bacteroidia; Bacteroidales
Description: tRNA-Met
Rfam family: tRNA
About the family: Transfer RNA (tRNA) molecules are approximately 80 nucleotides in length. Their secondary structure includes four short double-helical elements and three loops (D, anti-codon, and T loops). Further hydrogen bonds mediate the characteristic L-shaped molecular structure. tRNAs have two regions of fundamental functional importance: the anti-codon, which is responsible for specific mRNA codon recognition, and the 3' end, to which the tRNAs corresponding amino acid is attached (by aminoacyl-tRNA synthetases). tRNAs cope with the degeneracy of the genetic code in two manners: having more than one tRNA (with a specific anti-codon) for a particular amino acid; and 'wobble' base-pairing, i.e. permitting non-standard base-pairing at the 3rd anti-codon position.
Source: RNAcentral
UAGCUCAGAUGGUUAGAGCAACUGACUCAUAAUCAGUAGGUCCCUGGUUCAAGUCC